This 301-nucleotide ribosomal RNA is filed under the name uncultured bacterium. RNAcentral's name for it is "partial 16S ribosomal RNA". It matches the Rfam family "Bacterial small subunit ribosomal RNA", at positions 509 to 808 of the family's 1533-position model. The record is from RNAcentral.
CAGUAGCCGCGGGAACACGAAGGGUGCAAGCGUUACUCGGAAUUACUGGGCGUAAAGCGUGCGUAGGUGGUGGUUUAAGUCCGUUGUGAAAGCCCUGGGCUCAACCUGGGAAUUGCGAUGGAUACUGGGCGACUAGAGUGCGGUAGAGGAUAGUGGAAUUUCCGGUGUAGCAGUGAAAUGCGUAGAGAUCGGAAGGAACAUCUGUGGCGAAGGCGACUAUCUGGGCCAACACUGACACUGAGACACGAAAGCGUGGGAGCAAACAGGAUUAGAUACCCGCGUAGUCCCUGUCUCUUAUACA